This 510-nucleotide ribosomal RNA is filed under the name uncultured bacterium. Its description in RNAcentral is "bacterial SSU rRNA". It matches the Rfam family "Bacterial small subunit ribosomal RNA", at positions 29 to 518 of the family's 1533-position model. The record is from RNAcentral.
AACGAACGCUGGCGGCGUGCUAACACAUGCAAGUCGAACGCGAAAGGGACUUCGGUCCUGAGUAAAGUGGCGCACGGGUGAGUAACGCGUAGAUAACCUGUCUUCAUGUCUGGAAUAAUACGCCGAAAGGGGUACUAAUACCGGAUAUUCUUGCUUUUCAUAAGUUAUGCAAGCAAAGGUGGCCUCUGCAUAUGCUACUGCAUGAAGAGGGGUCUGCGUACCAUUAGCUAGUAGGUGGGGUAAUGGCCUACCUAGGCGACGAUGGUUAGCGGGUCUGAGAGGAUGAUCCGCCACACUGGCACUGGAACACGGGCCAGACUCCUACGGGAGGCAGCAGUGAGGAAUAUUGCGCAAUGGGGGAAACCCUGACGCAGCGACGCCGCGUGAGUGAAGGAAGGCCUUCGGGUCGUAAAGCUCUGUCAAGAGGAAAGAAGUGUACAAUGGCUAAUACCUGUUGUAUUUGACGGUACCUCUAAAGGAAGCACCGGCUAACUCCGUGCCAGCAGCGGC